RNAcentral lists this non-coding RNA (69 nucleotides) under Paenibacillus bovis. RNAcentral describes it as "Fluoride sequence". It matches the Rfam family "Fluoride riboswitch aptamer (crcB RNA motif)". The record is from Rfam by way of RNAcentral. Lineage: Bacteria; Bacillati; Bacillota; Bacilli; Caryophanales; Paenibacillaceae.
AAUUGAAUCGGUGAUGGAGUUCGCCGUUAACCGCUGGCAUAAUAAUCAGCUGAUGACUCCUACCUGUUG